AUUUGUUUACGAGAAGUAGUGUUGACAAAGAGUUGAAGAAGCGUGAGAUAGGACCAGUGUCCGAGAGUGAGAGAUAUGAAUCUCUCUACUCUGUUCCAUACAUCUAAUCCUCUACUUCUUCCUCUUCAUUCCAUUCCUUCUACAAGGUCUCAGGCAGUUCUGGCUAGGUUUAGUGUUGGUGGGGAUGUUGCGAUUGAAGGUAAGAACCUCAACUUCUCGAUCACAACAAAGCAAGGGAAAUUGGCUCCCAUUCUUCAAGAUUGCUCUCUCCGGAUUCCUUCGGGGCAGCUGUGGAUGCUCCUUGGGCCCAAUGGUUGUGGCAAAUCGACCCUUUUGAAGAUUUUGGCUGGUCUUUUGAAUCCGACAAGUGGUACAUUGUCUGUGAAGAGGCCCAGGAGUUUCGUUUUCCAAAAUCCGGAUCAUCAGGUUGUGAUGCCCACAGUAGAAGCUGAUGUGGCAUUUGGACUUGGUAAGUUCAAUCUGACUGACGAUGAAGUUAGGUCCAGGGUGUCAAAAGCUUUGGAUGCUGUGGGCAUGGUUAACUACAUCAAAAGGCCAGUUCAAACUCUAAGUGGUGGUCAGAAACAAAGGGUUGCCAUUGCUGGUGCUUUGGCCGAGGCAUGCAAGGUGCUGUUAUUGGAUGAGCUAACGACAUUUUUAGAUGAAAAAGAUCAGUUCGGGGUGAUUAAGGCAGUCAAAAACUCUUUAAGUGCAUCUGGAGAAAUUACAGCCUUAUGGGUGACCCAUAGAUUGGAAGAACUUGAGUUUGCAGAUGGGGCUUUUUAUAUGGAAAAUGGGAGAAUUGUCAAGCAAGGUGGUGGAGCAAGCAUUAUGGGUUUUAUUAGAGCCAGACAAUCCUCUUACAUCAACCAGAUAAAUUCUUGAUAAAAAAUGCCAUUUUUUUUAUAUCAACCAGAGUCCAGAGACAAUACUCAGAAUUAGUGGUGCUGAGAUCAUCUUCAGAGUUGAUAAGCAGAGCGAAAACCCACGAAGAAUCACCCGUAAAUCGUAAUAACUUCCUUUCGCGCGACCAAUCGAAGGCACUCUGGUAGGUGAUCUCUUUCGUGCUCCGGUUAGGUUAGGAAUUGGAUUGAGGUCUGUGUUUGAAUG
Tripterygium wilfordii is the source of this 1110-nucleotide RNA transcript. It is a transcript of the gene named ABC transporter I family member 10, with no coding region annotated. The transcript is spliced from 7 exons. NCBI's taxonomy places the organism in Eukaryota, Viridiplantae, Streptophyta, Magnoliopsida, Celastrales, Celastraceae. The record is from RefSeq and is a predicted model, not a curated record.